This 171-nucleotide non-coding RNA is filed under the name Triticum aestivum (bread wheat). RNAcentral's name for it is "Bacterial large subunit ribosomal RNA". It matches the Rfam family "Bacterial large subunit ribosomal RNA", at positions 865 to 1028 of the family's 2925-position model. Lineage: Eukaryota; Viridiplantae; Streptophyta; Magnoliopsida; Poales; Poaceae. The record is from Rfam by way of RNAcentral.
UCUAUUUCAGUAGAGCGUAUGAUGUCGAUGGCCCGAGGUAGAGCACUCAAUGGGCUAGGGUGGCCCCCAUUUCGCUUUACCAACCCUAGGGAAACUCCGAAUACAGGCCUCAUCCUUAGUACAGACAGACUAAUUGGGUGCUAAGAUCCAAAGUCGAGAGGGAAAUAGCCC